Molecule: long non-coding RNA, 667 nt
Filed under: Mus musculus (house mouse)
Lineage: Eukaryota; Metazoa; Chordata; Mammalia; Rodentia; Muridae
Description: long non-coding RNA chr16:31845701-31846368
Source: RNAcentral
UUACUCCUGAGUCAAUAGGGCAUACAAAGUGGAUGCACUGGGCAAAAAGAUAAUUCACAUCCAGCGUAGCAUAAGAUUUCACCAUGAUAUUCAUAUCAAGUUUAAAAAAAAUAUGCAGCUUAAGACUUGGGAGUUGUUCAUUUCUGAAGUAGUCCACUCUAAUUCCAAACCAGACUGACCAGCAGAGCCUGAAACCCUGGGAAGUAAAUGGGGGCUGGUAAAGGGGUGGAGUAGCAUCCUCGGGAACAGCUCAGCUGGAAAAAUGAAAACAGAAUUUCUGUCUUUGGGGCUAGUAGUGUGGCUUAUUGGUGAAUCACUUGCCAUCCCUAGCAUUGCCUCCCAAAAACUCUUCAUAUGUCCCUACUUCAGAUGAUUGGUUUUAAUGUCACAGCUGGGUAAGGUCACUUCCACCAAGAAAGUCCAGAACAGAAGAAUUGCUCGUGGCUCUUCCUCUGCAGUAAAUGUCGUCACCCUUUGUGCCUCACAAGCUCCAGUCAGGGACUGCACAAAUGUCUUCCCGUCUGUAUGUCACAGAGUUCAGCACUUACCUUUUUCUCUGAAGAAAAAAAAAAGCAAUUUUUUAAUUAGGAACAUCCUCAUGAUUAUUUGGGUUCGCUUUGUUAAUAUUGACUGUCGUGUUAAUUCAUUAUAGCCACAAAUAAAAUGC